CCAAUAGCGUAUAUUUAAGUUGUUGCAGUUAAAAAGCUCGUAGUUGGAUUUUGGGUCGGGGGCACCGGUCCGCCGUUCCGGUGUGCACUGGUGGCCCCUUCCUUUCUGCCGGGGACGUGCGUCGCACUUAAUUGGGUGGCGUUCGGAGUCGGCGUUGUUACUUUGAAAAAAUUAGAGUGUUCAAAGCAAGCCAUCGCUCUGAAUACAUUAGCAUGGAAUAACAUGAUAGGACUCCGGUCUUAUUUUGUUGGUUUCCGAGACUGGAGUAAUGAUUAAGAGGGACAGUCGGGGGCAUCCGUAUUUCAUUGUCAGAGGUGAAAUUCUUGGAUUUAUGAAAGACGAACUUCUGCGAAAGCAUUUGCCAAGGAUGUUUUCAUUAA
This 380-nucleotide ribosomal RNA is filed under the name uncultured eukaryote. RNAcentral describes it as "partial 18S ribosomal RNA". It matches the Rfam family "Eukaryotic small subunit ribosomal RNA", at positions 591 to 976 of the family's 1831-position model. The record is from RNAcentral.